Molecule: transfer RNA, 73 nt
Filed under: Pseudomonadota bacterium
Lineage: Bacteria; Pseudomonadati; Pseudomonadota
Also listed under: 4 other names
Description: Proteobacteria bacterium tRNA-Asn
Rfam family: tRNA
About the family: Transfer RNA (tRNA) molecules are approximately 80 nucleotides in length.
Source: RNAcentral
UCCGGCGUAGCUCAGUUGGUAGAGCAGCUGACUGUUAAUCAGCGGGUCACAGGUUCGAGUCCUGUCGCCGGAG